AUGAUUAGUAGCUUGUGAACUGGUUAGUUGUCAAAAAGGGACAUUCUCCGAAAAGUACGAUCUUUGUCCCCAUGUGCAGUUUCAAACCGUAGUCUGGCUUUUUAAUAGCAGUUUUGGAGCAGUGGCUUCUUCCUUGCUGAGCAGCCUUUCAGGUUAUGUCGAUAUAGGACUCGAUUUACUGUGGAUAUAGAUACUUUUGUACCUCUGUCCUUCAGCAUCUUCACAAUGUCCUUUGCUGUUGUUCUGGGAUUGAUUUGCACUUUUUGCACCAAAGUACGUUCAUCUCUAGGAGACAGAACGCGUCUCCUUCCUGAGCGGUAUGAUGGCUGCAUGGUUCCAUGGUGUUUAUACUUGCGUACUAUUGUUUGUACAGAUGAAAGUGGUACCUUCAGGUGUUUGGAAAUUGCUCCCAAGGAUGAACCAGACAAUUUUUUUUCCGAGGUCUUGGGUGAUUUCUUUUGAUUUUUCCAUGAUGUCAAGUAAAGAGGUACUGAGUUUGAAGGUUUUGCGUACCCAAAGAAUUAUCUUGACACAAUCACACAGGACGAGACUGAGCAUCUAAGGCAGCAUUCAUCUGAUGAAGAGGAUUUCUUCUCAUCACUGACAAACAAUCAGUCAGAAGGUACAGGGGAGCUGGAUGGGUAUCUUGCUAUUCCAUCGGACAAAAUGUAUUUACUUUUUUUUGUUUCCGUACAUAAAGAAGUUGUCCCUCAAACUCAACACAGGCCUGCCUGCAUCUGCCGCCUGUGAACGUCUUUUCAGCUGUGCUGGAAUACUCUACACUGCAAAGCGGGCCAGGAUAGACUCAAUUAAAUUAGAAAAUCAGCUACUACUGAAACUGAAUGGCAACUUCAGAGAGAAGUGAAGUGAGUUAAGUGUUCGAUAGGUAGUUCCACAAAAAAUAUGCCUUUUGAACAUUCAUUUGAACCUUUGUGUAUGUAAAGUUGAAGAUUUAAUAUUAAAAUCAGCUGUGCUGGAUCUUAUCUUGUUGGUUAUUUUCUGGUGUUUUAUGGAACAUUUACCCUGUCAAGCAUUAUAUGUAAACAAUAUUACAUAUACAGUAGUAUCUAGAAAAGUAAAAAAUGUUGAUAUUCAUUUGUUUGUGAAGCUUGCAUUCAAUUGGCACACCCUUUUCACAUGAACUUCCAUUCUUGUAAAAGGAGAAAAAAAAUAAACAUCAAAAUUGAAAUAGCAAAUUAUUUUAGAAGUAGUAACAUUUACUCUUGAGUACUUUUUAAAUGUGCUACUUUUUACUUUUACUUUAGUAGUUUUUUUUUACACUUGUACUUUUACCUCUACUUGAUUACAAUUUCAUUAAAGUAACAGUAGUUCUACUUGAGUAGGAUUUUACAGGACUUGUCUGUACUUGGCUUCACGAUUGAUAUUUUUGACAACUUUUCACAACAUUCCUAAAGAAAAUGAUGUACUUUUUACUCCAUACAUUUUCCCUGACACCCAAAAGUACUCGUUACAUUUUGAAUACUUAGCAGGACAUUGCCUAAUUCACAUACAAAUCAAGAGAACAUCCCUGGGCAUCCCGACUGCCACUGAUCUGGCAGACUCACUAAACACAUGCUUUGUUUGUAAAUUAUGUCUGAGUGUUAUGUCGGAGCAGUCCCCUGGCUAUCCGUAAAUGUAAAAAAUAAAAAUAAAAUGAUGCCGUC
Oncorhynchus tshawytscha (Chinook salmon) is the source of this 1664-nucleotide long non-coding RNA. NCBI's taxonomy places the organism in Eukaryota, Metazoa, Chordata, Actinopteri, Salmoniformes, Salmonidae. The record is from Ensembl.